Long non-coding RNA from Pezoporus occidentalis (night parrot), 2032 nucleotides. RefSeq lists it as uncharacterized. The transcript has 3 exons. The record is from RefSeq and is a predicted model, not a curated record. NCBI's taxonomy places the organism in Eukaryota, Metazoa, Chordata, Aves, Psittaciformes, Psittacidae.
GAAAAGGAAGAGGGAAAGGAAAAGGGAGAGAGCAAUACAGGUUCUGUCUAAUGUUAACAUCUCUUUGUGUUCUGUAGUUAAACCGUAAACAAAGUUGGACUAUAGAAUCACAUAACAGCUCAGGUUUGAGGGGGUCUUAAAAGAUCAUCUGUUCCAACCUUUCAUGGGAAAGGUAGCCUAGAUUAAAUUAGAUGUUUAUUCAGUCCCAUUUUGAAAGCCUACAGUGAUGGUGAUGCUGCCACAUUCCUGAGGAGGUUGUUCAUAAAUGAUUGUUCUUACUGUACAAAAUUUCUUAUGUCGAGAUGAAAGAUGGAGAACCCAUUGCCAGGAGGAUGAAUGAUGGAGAAUCCAUUACCAGAAGGAUGAAUGAUGAAUAACCCAUUACCAGAAGGAGGCUGCUUCAUUCUUCCGGUACCAUAAAACCUUGAUUGUCUAGAGGAUUUGUCUUAGAGAAUAAUGCUGUUGUGUGCCACAAGCAACCACUGCUUCAGUUUGGUUCAUCUCCUAGCAUGUCUACAAAAGGGUGUUUAUACCCAGCCUUAGUUCCCUCAUGUAGGAGUCACUACAGCUAAAGAAAACCCUCCUAGCACGAGUUCUUGAAGAACUACUAUUUAACCUUUGAAAGCAAAUGGAAUUUGAGUCAAAACAGUAGUUGCUCCAGACUACAAAAGCCUGGAAGUCCUGCUCCUGAAUUUGCUGAGUUGCAGCAGAUCCCCAAAGAAACAAUUGCUGUUAUCAGAGCAGAUCCAGUUCAUUUAUUUUGCUGUAAAAUAUCUUUCUUAUACAAACUCUGAGAUAAUACUUAAGUACUACAGAAAAUUAACGUCUUGACAUCCUUGGAUUUCAGGUCAAACCCAUAUACUACUUGGAUUCUCUAGUAGCACUGUGAUAGAUUUUCUAGGAGUCACCUUACUCAGGUAGAUCUUUUCUCAUCCUCCAAUUUUCCUGGAAGAAAUGAGACCAAUCAUAAGACUUUCAAAUACAUAUUUUAAUGUAUUUUUCAAAAAUAUUAGUGUAUUUACAUAAAUUUCUCAUUUAGAAAUAUCUUGUACUUGCCUAUUUUAAAACACCUGGUUUAAAAAAAGUUCAGCCAGAUGAUUACAUUACACAGAUUUGAAAGAACAUUGACUGUAGAUAUGAGCAAUUAAAAAAUACAACAAAGAAAUAUAUACCAUUGCAUUAAGAUUUAGUGCACAUUUUUAAGUUGCUGACUUCUACAAAUUGUUCUUCCCAUAAAAAUUGCUUAGUCUGUGUCAGUAACUUGUACCCACUUUUACAUUGGAAUUUGCAUUUCCUUUUUCCUCACAGAAUCUCUCCCCCCCCCUUUGCCUAUACAAAGGUUGCAAUAAAAUGCAUUACAGUAGUAUUUCAUUUACAAAGCAAAUGACAUUAAAACUUGUUUCUUAACCCAUUGGAUUGUACUUUAGUAAAACAAUGUCCUUUCAUGGAGGUGCAGCACAGAUUCCAAGAGCUGCCUGGAUGUGGAAAAUGGUCACUCUUUCGAAGCAGUCCUGCCUGGGAAGGUUGAGUUGAAUUGCUUCAUGAUGCUGUGUCAAUUCCUCUUUGGAAGGAUCUCAUCCUCAGGUUUGGCAAUUAGGAUAGCAUGUUAAACAUUCUCAAGGCUGGAUUGGGCAUACCCCAUCUUCUGGACCUUCAGACCAAGCACUUCGCUGGCAGCCGUGUCCCUUGGGUAAAUGGGAUUCUGCAAAAUGACAGUGCAGCUUGUGUGGGCAGGGGACAGGCCACGUCCCAAAGAGAUUAGUAGAAAAGGAAGAAAGAAGCAGAGAGAAGAACGCUGGGAGGGAGGUGUGAUUUAUUGCUCUGAUGUCAUAAUUUCCUAGUUUAUCAGCUAUGUCUUAACCCCACUAAGGAGUACUUCAGAGGGCAGCAGAAGAGAGGAAUGUGAAGAGCAGAGAGGGAGAAAGAUGAAGAGGGGAAGGAAUCGUAGGGAAGAAAGGAGGAAUCGUAAACCUCUGAAGUUCCAAGUCAACUGAUGUGCAUUAAGAAACAUUAGCUAAGCAUUUUCAGCAGG